AUUCAGCCGACGAGUCCCAAAUAGGAUGAAACGCGCUUCCUGGAU
RNAcentral lists this non-coding RNA (45 nucleotides) under Schistosoma mansoni. The record is from RNAcentral. Lineage: Eukaryota; Metazoa; Platyhelminthes; Trematoda; Strigeidida; Schistosomatidae.